AACCCUUCGGGGUGAGUGGCGCACGGGUGCGUAACGCGUGGGAAACCUGCCCUUAGGUUUGGAAAUAACGUUUCGAAAGGUAACGCUAAUACCAAAUAAUGUCUUCGGCCCAAAGAUUUAUCGCCUUUGGAUGGGCCCGCGUUGGAUUAGCUAGUUGGUGAGGUAAAGGCUCACCAAGGUCGACGAUCCAUAGCUGGUCUUAGAGGAUGAUCAGCCACACUGGGACUGAGACACGGCCCAUACUCCUACGGGAGGCACAGUGGGGAAUCUUAGACAAUGGGCGCAAGCCUGAUCUAGCC
RNAcentral lists this ribosomal RNA (299 nucleotides) under uncultured Alphaproteobacteria bacterium. RNAcentral's name for it is "partial 16S ribosomal RNA". It matches the Rfam family "Bacterial small subunit ribosomal RNA", at positions 74 to 392 of the family's 1533-position model. The record is from RNAcentral. Lineage: Bacteria; Pseudomonadati; Pseudomonadota; Alphaproteobacteria.